Molecule: long non-coding RNA, 384 nt
Filed under: Gossypium barbadense (sea-island cotton)
Lineage: Eukaryota; Viridiplantae; Streptophyta; Magnoliopsida; Malvales; Malvaceae
Description: long non-coding RNA (GBAR_LNC008949)
Source: RNAcentral
ACACGAAGAUGUGUCUGACAUCGCUCAUUCUAUUUGUGGCUGCGCAAAAGAUCAUAGAAAGAAUGGGGAAUCCUUUGCUUAAGAUUAGAUUAGCUCGGCAGAGAAGAGAGAUUGACCCGAGUGGUCUUGGUCCCAAGGUCCCGAGGUUAGUCCUUUGUGACUUUUUAUUCGCCUGUCGAUUAUUGGUCCUUGAAGGACCGAAACUCAUGCGAUGAACCUCUUGCCAGAGCUUCUUUUCCUCACUCAGUAACGAGAUUAGUUUGCUUUGCUUUAAGCAAGUUACCGUCGAAAUAAGGUUUAUUUGCUCCAAUAAGCGGAAAUAAAAGAAUAUUUCCGCUGCCGGGGUUCGAACCCGGAAAUUCAACAACUAGAAUUUUAACCAUC